AGGAAUAUUGGUCAAUGGACGAGAGUCUGAACCAGCCAAGUAGCGUGAAGGAUGACUGCCCUAUGGGUUGUAAACUUCUUUUAUACGGGAAUAAAGUUAGCCACGUGUGGCUUUUUGUAUGUACCGUAUGAAUAAGGAUCGGCUAACUCCGUGCCAGCAGCCGCGGUAAUACGGAGGAUCCGAGCGUUAUCCGGAUUUAUUGGGUUUAAAGGGAGCGCAGGCCGUCCUUUAAGCGUGCUGUGAAAUGCCGCGGCUCAACCGUGGCACUGCAGCGCGAACUGGAGGACUUGAGUACGCACGAGGUAGGCGGAAUUCGUGGUGUAGCGGUGAAAUGCUUAGAUAUCACGAAGAACUCCGAUUGCGAAGGCAGCUUACCGGAGCGCAACUGACGCUGAGGCUCGAAAGCGCGGGUAUCGAACAGGAUUAGAUACCCUGGUAGUCCGCGCGGUAAACGAUGGAUGCCCGCCGUUGGGUUUUAGAAUUCAGCGGCCAAGCGAAAGCGUUAAGCAUCCCACCUGGGGAGUACGCCGGCAACGGUGAAACUCAAAGGAAUUGACGGGGGCCCGCACAAGCGGAGGAACAUGUGGUUUAAUUCGAUGAUACGCGAGGAACCUUACCCGGGCUUGAAUUGCAGGAGAACGAUCCAGAGAUGGUGAGGCCCUUCGGGGCUCCUGUGAAGGUGCUGCAUGGUUGUCGUCAGCUCGUGCCGUGAGGUGUCGGCUCAAGUGCCAUAACGAGCGCAACCCCUGUCCAUAGUUGCCAUCAGGUCGUGCUGGGCACUCUGUGGAGACUGCCGCCGUAAGGUGUGAGGAAGGUGGGGAUGACGUCAAAUCAGCACGGCCCUUACGUCCGGGGCUACACACGUGUUACAAUGGGGCAUACAGCGAGUUGGAUGUGCGCAAGUACGUCCGGAUCAAUAAAGUGCCUCUCAGUUCGGACUGGGGUCUGCAACCCGACCCCACGAAGCUGGAUUCGCUAGUAAUCGCGCAUCAGCCAUGGCGCGGUGAAUACGUUCCCG
This 1018-nucleotide ribosomal RNA is filed under the name uncultured bacterium. RNAcentral describes it as "bacterial SSU rRNA". It matches the Rfam family "Bacterial small subunit ribosomal RNA", at positions 357 to 1376 of the family's 1533-position model. The record is from RNAcentral.